GUCCCCAUAGCUUAACCCAAAGCACGGCACUGAAGCUGCCAAGAUGGUACCCACAUUACCUGCGGACA
RNAcentral lists this transfer RNA (68 nucleotides) under Anseranas semipalmata (magpie goose). RNAcentral's name for it is "tRNA-Phe". Lineage: Eukaryota; Metazoa; Chordata; Aves; Anseriformes; Anseranatidae. The record is from RNAcentral.